Molecule: ribosomal RNA, 241 nt
Filed under: uncultured Staphylococcus sp.
Lineage: Bacteria; Bacillati; Bacillota; Bacilli; Caryophanales; Staphylococcaceae
Description: partial 16S ribosomal RNA
Rfam family: Bacterial small subunit ribosomal RNA
Source: RNAcentral
CGGACGGGUGAGUAACACGUGGAUAACCUACCUAUAAGACUGGGAUAACUUCGGGAAACCGGAGCUAAUACCGGAUAAUAUAUUGAACCGCAUGGUUCAAUAGUGAAAGACGGUUUUGCUGUCGCUUAUAGAUGGAUCCGCGCCGCAUUAGCUAGUUGGUAAGGUAACGGCUUACCAAGGCAACGAUGCGUAGCCGACCUGAGAGGGUGAUCGGCCACACUGGAACUGAGACACGGUCCAG